Molecule: long non-coding RNA, 311 nt
Organism: Magnolia sinica
Lineage: Eukaryota; Viridiplantae; Streptophyta; Magnoliopsida; Magnoliales; Magnoliaceae
Exons: 2
Source: RefSeq, a predicted model, not a curated record
AUGGAAUAUACGUAGCUGUUGCAGGAAGUGACUUUGUCAUUACUAGAGUUGCAUUUCGAGACAACUCUUCAAAGUAUUAUAUAAAUGACCGUGAAAGUAAUUUUACAGAGGUCACUAAGAAAUUGAAAGGAAAAGGAGUGGACUUGGAGAACAAUCAGUUUUUUAUUCUUCAGGGUGAAGUCGAGCAAAUUUCUCUAAUGAAGCUAAAGAUUUGUAUUUUCAGCAUUAUUGUAAUUGUAAUUGUAAUUAAUUGAAUGAAGGAUUGUAAUUGAUUGUAAUUGUAAUUGAUUGAAUGAAGGAUUGUAAUUGAA